ACAAAGGGAGUUUCAAGGGUUCACCAUCUCUCGGGUCAGAAUGUCAUUACCUAAAUCUCAGCAAAGGCCUGCAAUCUCCCCUUGGCAAACAGCCAGUCUGGGCUGGCAGGAGGCAUCCCUGUCCAUGGCAGGGGGUUGAAAGUAGACUAGAUCUUUAAUGUUCCUUUCAACACAAACCAUUCCACGAGUCUAUGAUGCUACGAUUCCAUGAUUCUGUGAUUCUACAAUUCCACAAUUCUACUGGCAGUGGACAACUGGUUCUCUAACUGCAACACAAGUUACAUCUGAAAUGCAGCCAUGCACCUAUUUUUUCCCCAAGCCAAGUGAUUUAUUUUUUCCAUAUCCACCUUGGACUGCUAUCUGAAUUUCUGGAAGCUAUAAACUACCACAGAUAUGAUUUUGGUCAUAUAAGUAAGGACAGUAUAAGCCCUCAAAACCCCCAGCUGAAGAGGGAUUUGGAUUACUGAAGCUUGGCAGAGAACAUGCAGAAGUAACCAGGAUGGGAACUUCAACUGUGUGUCCAAAGCCUCAUACAGGAGGUGCUGCACCACUUCAAGGCAGCUCCUGUGAACCUGACUGAAGACCCAGCAACAGACUUCUGUUAAUUCCAUACUACUUCUCCCCUCUACAUGUGCCUCCUCUGAGACCCAAAGCUGCCUACUUAGAAAAAAACAUGGCUUCAAGGAUGCUUUAGUUCAGUUUUGGAAGUAGGUUUAGCCAAACAGCUUGUAACUUCAGUGCAGUUUUGCAGGGCAUACAUACUUUGAGGAAGUGGAAAGCACCAGCAAUGCAGCACAGCCAGAGCCAUGUGGUGCUGCCUAGAGAACAGCGGGCCCACUAGGACACAUGGGCAAGGAGGGAAAUCUUUGGGCAAUGUACAAGGCAUGGAAUCAGUCAAAACACUGAAAAAAAUUCAGAAAAAUCAAACCUCUGCUUCCAAGUUAGCCUGGGCUGAUCAAAUCACUUGCUGUCACAUUCCUGAUUUUUUGUUUUUGUCCACUGCAGAUUGUGGCCCUGCACUUUCUCUAUGCCAGCACUGGUUUUCCUCCAACCUUGCACUGAGCCAUUUCAGUUUGCUGAGCUGCAGGUAGUGAGUCACCACACCAGCUAGGGAGAAGGUAUUGUGUGCUCAGCUCUGGCCUUCCCACCAGACAGCCUGCCUUUGGAUCAGCAUAGGUGGCUCCACAGCCAUCCCUCAGGCCCUGUGAAAAGCUUCCCAGGGCUCUUCUAAUACCAACAUUCUCCUUUACCUUGAGAUAAUUGUUUUUUUCUCCUGAUCUCUCAGAAUAAGAGUCCAAAGACAAAGGUCCCUUUUUGAAAUCUGGUAACUCAGAUUUUACAUGGAUGGAUCACUGGAAAAAGUGCUGUACUAGAAACCUCUUUCUUGAAAUCCCUCUAGAAGCAACCCAGCAGCCUAGAUUUGAUGGAUAUUUAAUUCCAUGAAAGGCUAUCAGCCAAUCACUCACAGCAUACAUAGUCCUCUCCAAAUUCCUCAGAAUUAAAAGUUCUCUCUUUAAUACUUCAAGGAACCUCUUUCAUCCUUCAGCCUCUCUGAAACACACCAGAAAGAAGGUCAGAUUUCAUAAACUGUUGGCAUUUUUACUGAAGAUAUUCCACUCUCCCUUCACACAUUGAACACAUCCUUCUUUCUCUCUUCCAUACAAGCACUUAGUUCACAUAGGAAGAGCAACUGACCCAAUUAUCAAUUUCCUCUUGCUGUUGAUUUUUGCUUAAAAGAGGAGGUAACAACAUGCAAAAGCUCUCCUGUGGGCAAAUACUUCAGAUGCUGCUUAGAUAAGAUCUGUAUUAGGAGUUCUCAAGAGUCUUCCCUUGAGAGGAGCUUUAUCUCUCCCUGACAUAGUUUGUGGAGUAAAGAGGAAUGUUUCUAGAUGGGAGUCUAACCAGAAAAAUGUGAACCUGAAACCAGGUAUUUAAGUUACUGGCUGGGAUCAUCAGGGAAAAACUGAAAUAUCCCAAUGCCUGCUUCUUCAACAAUCCUGUAAUGAGAAACAAAAUGAUGACAGAAAGCUGCACAAGCCAAAAGCACAAGAAUUGCAAUUUUUGUCAGGUUCCGGGAAUGAGAUGUGACUGUUCAGAGCCUGAGCAGCUCCCACAGCUUAAACACCCGUCUCCUUGAAGAAGUGCAUUAGUGCCUUGCAGUGACAUUCAUCAUAAGGCACUGUGGAACUCAAAGAAUACUUUACCCAAAGCACUCCUAUGCAGUCAUCCUAAGCCCAGAAAUAAAAUCAAUUUGCUUUAA
Molecule: long non-coding RNA, 2260 nt
Organism: Passer domesticus (house sparrow)
Lineage: Eukaryota; Metazoa; Chordata; Aves; Passeriformes; Passeridae
Exons: 2
Source: RefSeq, a predicted model, not a curated record